Molecule: long non-coding RNA, 2296 nt
Filed under: Homo sapiens (human)
Lineage: Eukaryota; Metazoa; Chordata; Mammalia; Primates; Hominidae
Description: HSALNT0305501
Source: RNAcentral
AGCGCUCGCUGGCUGGCUGGCUAACGGAAAGGCUGGCUGGACUCGGGGAUCCAGCCACACUGCUGGCGGGCAGCAUGCUGUCCACCCUGCGGGUGCCUUUCUCAGACUAGGGCCCGCAUGAAUUCCGCCUCCCGGGAGAAGCUGACGUCGGCAUGCCUUCCAGGGGCAGCGGCUGCCCUCCAGGGUCUGGAACUUGGGGGUCAUGCUGCCUCCAACUCCUGACUCUGUGGCCCCAAGAGGAAGAGGAAGCUGGGUGGGAUCUUAGGGGCCAUGUGGACUAGGCAGCCCACUGGGGAGUGGGCACGUGAAAAGUACUUUGGGACACGGAGUUCCAAUCAAACAGAAGACUGGAACCUCAGCACCUCCAAAGCUCACGGACCCGCUGGAGGCGGGGGGCUAUGGGACCCCAUCUUAAGCCAAGAAAUCAGCUCAGGCCUGCAUGGGCCUUCCUCGAAUCUUGAAGGAACUGUGGACAUCUUUCAGCAUGGGGAGCAAGAGUGAGUCCCAUAAACACCAACUGCAUCCCCACUCUGAGUCUGGGCAGUGCUGGCCCCAGGCACAGGGUGUUGGGCUGGAAAUGGCCUGCUCUUCCCUCUCUUGAACAGGGGGGGUGCCAGGUCCAGAGAGAGAGCCUGGCCUGCCUGGGGUACCCGGAGUGGGACGCAUGGCAAAGCCUUGAAUGCAGAGGGGCUGCAUGAGCAGGCGUUGGCUGGCACUAUCUGAGCACCGCAUAUACCCUCCCCACGGCAUACAGCAGCCCUUGAGAUGAGUCAGGUGGCUUCCUGGGAUGGCAGGGAUGGGGAGAAGAUGGUCAAACCAGACGCUGCUUCAGCGACACUUCUAUAGGGCCAUGGGGUUGCAAAGGGAUCAGAGGUUUGUCCCGGUCACUUACACAAAAAGCUCAACCCCAACGCUCCCGGGUCAGCAAAACUGAAAAGCAGAACCCCUUCUUGGGUGGUACUGCCUCCAAGGGCACCGCAAAGGCCACAGAAAGAAAACAAGGGAAGGGAACCAAACUUUUCCUCAGCCUCGGGGGAGAACUAGACCAUGCUGGAGGCUGGUGGAAUGGAGCCUCCAACUCUUUCCUGAUGGGACCCUUGCCAGAAGGACCCCGUCCCUCCUAGUGGCGAGGACAGAACUCCUUAAGUUCAGAAUCCUGAUCCUUCUGACAGUAGUCGGGUGGCAACUGUGUUACAUGGGGGGCAGGGCAUCUAUGCAGACAGCAGGACCUGGCCCAGCUACUGUUUGCAUGCAGUGAGCUCAUCGAUGAGGCUCCCCUCCAUGCAGUGGCUGCUCUGGAACCGCGAAGGGCUCCACUGACACAGGCAAGCGCUCAGACACUCGAGCCACGUUUAGUCAGCCCUCCUGGCUCGGGCUCCCCAGCCCCGGAUACUACCCAUAGAUGGAAGUGAUGAGGCCUCAGGCAGAAUCCCAGGGCACCAUCACCAGCCCUUCCCCUCAGCUUCCCUGGGGCAAUGUUCAGGCUCAGAAUGAGGCACUACCGAGUUGGAAGAGAACUGGUUGGACCCCAACAGUGAAUGCCCCACAGAAAGGGCUGCUCUCUGGACCCCACGGCCAUCUCCAGAGAGACCCCUUCCCAAGGUGUCUGCAGCCUGGGCCAGGCCUUCCAUAGGCAGUGAUGAUUCUGAGCUGGUUCUCUUCAGCCAGGCUUAGAGGAGGAGGGGUUUGAAGAAAUGCCCUUCCAUGACAUACAAGUGACCCACAGAGAGCCAAAGCCCUGCUCAGGUAAGAGAGGAUGGGGCCGGGCGCGGUGACUCACGCCCGUAAUCCCAGCACUUUGGGAGGCCAACGUGGGUGGAUUACGAGGUCAAGAGAUCGAGACCAUCCUGGCUAAAAAUACAAAAAAAUUAGCUGGGUGUGGUGGUGGGCACCUGUAGUUUCAGCUACUUGGGAGGCUGAGGCAGGAGAAUGGUGUGAACCUGGGAGGCGGAGCUUGCAGUGAGCCGAGAUCGUGCCACUGCACUCCAGCCUGGGCGACAGACAGAGCGAGACUCCGUCUCAAAAAAAAAAGAGAGGGUGGGAGUGCCUCUGGCAAGCCCACUCCAAUCCCCAUUCGACCCCUACCUUCAGCCAUCGAGACACAUGGGCUCUGCACAGAGCAGGACUUGCAGGGGCAGAGGUUGGAGAUGGGAUCAGCUGGAGCUGCCUUGGCCCUGAGCAACCCAUGUAAAAAACAGCAGGUGGGAAACGGACACAGCCAGGCAACAAAACUACAGUCAAGACCAGCCUGUGUGCUCUUGUCCCAGGGGACAGUGUCUCCCAGAACUACCUUUCC